CGGACGGGUGAGUAACGCGUGAGAAUCUGCCCUCAGGAGGGGGAUAACGGCUGGAAACGGCCGCUAAUACCCCAUAUGCCGAGAGGUGAAAUGAAUUUCGCCUGAGGAUGAGCUCGCGUCUGAUUAGCUAGUUGGUGAGGUAAGGGCUCACCAAGGCUUCGAUCAGUAGCUGGUCUGAGAGGAUGAUCAGCCACACUGGGACUGAGACACGGCCCAGACUCAUACGGGAGGCAGCAGUGGGGAAUUUUCCGCAAUGGGCGAAAGCCUGACGGAGCAACGCCGCGUGAGGGAUGAAGGCCUCUGGGCUGUAAACCUCUUUUAUCAAGGAAGAAGAUCUGACGGUACUUGAUGAAUAAGCCACGGCUAAUUCCGUGCCAGCAGCCGCGGUAAUACGGGAGUGGCAAGCGUUAUCCGGAAUUAUUGGGCGUAAAGCGUCCGCAGGCGGUUUUGAAAGUCUGUUGUUAAAGCGUGGAGCUUAACUCCAUUUGAGCAAUGGAAACUACAAGACUAGAGUGUGGUAGGGGCAGAGGGAAUUCCCGGUGUAGCGGUGAAAUGCGUAGAUAUCGGGAAGAACACCAGUGGCGAAGGCGCUCUGCUGGGCCAUAACUGACGCUCAUGGACGAAAGCCAGGGGAGCGAAAGGGAUUAGAUACCCCUGUAGUC
Molecule: ribosomal RNA, 662 nt
Filed under: uncultured Cyanobacterium sp.
Lineage: Bacteria; Bacillati; Cyanobacteriota; Cyanophyceae; Chroococcales; Geminocystaceae
Description: bacterial SSU rRNA
Rfam family: Bacterial small subunit ribosomal RNA
Source: RNAcentral